Molecule: long non-coding RNA, 883 nt
Filed under: Olea europaea subsp. europaea
Lineage: Eukaryota; Viridiplantae; Streptophyta; Magnoliopsida; Lamiales; Oleaceae
Source: RNAcentral
AGGCUCUGUUGAUAUGGGAAUUAACGUUGUCAUACGAUGCAGGGUGACGUACAAAGUCAAGUGUGUGCCCAACAAUUAUCGUCAUCUACCUUUACCCCUCUGUUGAUACCGUAUCGUACUUUAGGUACUUCAGGUCCAUGUGUUGAUCAGGUAAAGGUAUACUUUGUUUCAUAUGCAUGUUGUGUGACAAACAUUAAAUGAUCACUGGUAAUGUAUAACUAUUGUUUAUUUUAUUUUCAGCUUGAACGGUACGGAUUGUUUCCCAAGAGCUUUCCACAUUGCAAACGACAUGGCCCGUAAUCGACCCUUUACAGCAAAUAACGACAACGACGAAAUCUGAUAUGGGAAUUGAAUUGGGGGCGGAACUCGAUUUUAUGUCAUUUCUGUGUUUUGAGGGGAAUUUUUCUGUCUUUAUGUAUAACUAUUGUUCAUUUCCUGUGCAUCUUGGUAGACUUUGUGGACUGUGCUUUUGCUUGGCAGUGUUAAUUGUAGUGUUUAUGACUUUCCUGUGAUAUGGAUUUUGCUGUCAGAUGGAUGUUGCUGUGAUAUGUAUUUUGCUUAUCAAGAUUCAUUUACAGCUCCAGAAAAUGAAUUUCGCCACAAAAUGGAUGUUGCUGUGAUAUGUAUUUUGCUUAUCAAGAUUCAUUUACAGGUCCAGAAAAUGUAUUUUGCCACAAAAUGUAUGUUGUAGUCAUUAGUGAUUGCUUGCUUAAUUCAAGAACAGCUCCAGGUAGUCGAUUGCUUGCUUAAUUCAUUAGUGAUUGCUUGCUUACUGAUUGCAGUUUACUGAUAAAUGGAGAGGCAGUUUACUAAUUUGCUUGUACUUCUAUAUAUUAAAACUGAUGCAAAUAGCUGGCAGCAUUUAGUAACUGCUAGAAUCUUC